GACGAACGCUGGCGGCGUGCUUAACACAUGCAAGUCGAACGGAAAGGCCCUGCUUUUGUGGGGUGCUCGAGUGGCGAACGGGUGAGUAACACGUGAGUAACCUGCCCUUGACUUUGGGAUAACUUCAGGAAACUGGGGCUAAUACCGGAUAGGAGCUCUUGCUGCAUGGUGGGGGUUGGAAAGUUUCGGCGGUUGGGGAUGGACUCGCGGCUUAUCAGCUUGUUGGGGGGGUAGUGGCUUACCAAGGCUUUGACGGGUAGCCGGCCUGAGAGGGUGACCGGCGACAUUGGGACUGAGAUACGGCCCAGACUGCUACGGGAGGCAGCGGUGGGGAGUAUUGCGCAAUGGGCGGGAGCCUGAUGCGGCAGCGCCGCGUGCGUGAUAACGGCCUUCGGGUUAUGAACCGCUUUCGCCUGUGACAAAGCGUGAGUGACGGUAAUGGGUAAAGAAGCACCGGCUAACUACGUG
Molecule: ribosomal RNA, 468 nt
Filed under: uncultured bacterium
Lineage: Bacteria
Description: partial 16S ribosomal RNA
Rfam family: Bacterial small subunit ribosomal RNA
Source: RNAcentral